This 240-nucleotide long non-coding RNA is filed under the name Spirodela polyrhiza (greater duckweed). Its description in RNAcentral is "long non-coding RNA (SPOL_LNC002365)". Lineage: Eukaryota; Viridiplantae; Streptophyta; Magnoliopsida; Alismatales; Araceae. The record is from RNAcentral.
UAACAAUCGCCGUAGGCUGUGGUGAUUGUGUCCUAUUCGGAACCGAGCUCCUAGAAGAGAUCGAGCGAACGGGGAUCCUCCAAGUGUAGAUUUAGAUCUGUCGCCAUUAAAAAGUUUUUAUCUCCUCUUUUCAGGUUUUUCGUCUGAGGUUUGUAUCAAGGCCAUUUCGUUCGCCACCCUUUUCUAGACUGAACUCCACUGAUUUUCAGUCCCCGGCGCAUCUUGCGUUUUAUCCUUUCC